GAUGAACGCUGGCGGCGUGCCUACUACAUGCAAGUCGAGCGAAUGGAUUAAGAGCUUGCUCUUAUGAAGUUAGCGGCGGACGGGUGAGUAACACGUGGGUAACCUGCCCAUAAGACUGGGAUAACUCCGGGAAACCGGGGCUAAUACCGGAUAACAUUUUGAACCGCAUGGUUCGAAAUUGAAAGGCGGCUUCGGCUGUCACUUAUGGAUGGACCCGCGUCGCGUUAGCUAGUUGGUGAGGUAACGGCUCACCAAGGCAACGAUGCGUAGCCGACCUGAGAGGGUGAUCGACCACACUGGGACUGAGACACGGCCCAGACUCCUACGGGAGGCAGCAGUAGGGAAUCUUCCGCAAUGGACGAAAGUCUGACGGAGGAACGCCGCGUGAGUGAUGAAGUCUUUCGGGUCGUAAAACUCUGUUGUUAGGGAAGAACAAGUGCUAGUUGAAUAAGCUGGCACCUUGACGGUACCUAACCAGAAAGCCACGGCUAACUACGUGCCAGCCGCCGCCGUAA
Molecule: ribosomal RNA, 515 nt
Filed under: uncultured bacterium
Lineage: Bacteria
Description: partial 16S ribosomal RNA
Rfam family: Bacterial small subunit ribosomal RNA
Source: RNAcentral